RNAcentral lists this ribosomal RNA (529 nucleotides) under Castolus sp. 00004200. RNAcentral's name for it is "partial 16S ribosomal RNA". It matches the Rfam family "Bacterial large subunit ribosomal RNA", at positions 1809 to 2610 of the family's 2925-position model. Lineage: Eukaryota; Metazoa; Arthropoda; Insecta; Hemiptera; Reduviidae. The record is from RNAcentral.
AAAAACAUGUCCUUUUGUUUUAAAUUUUAGGUCUAACCUGCCCAAUGAUUAAUUUUAAUGGCCGCGGUAUAUUAACUGUGCUAAGGUAGCAUAAUCAUUUGUCUUUUAAUUAAAGGCUAGAAUGAAUGGUUGGACGAAGUAUGAGCUUUCUUUAAUUUAAUUUAUGAAUUUAAUUUUUUAGUUAAAAAGCUAAAAUAGAUUUGAGGGACGAGAAGACCCUAUAGAUCUUUAUAUUUAAAAUUGUUAUUUAUUUUAGUAAUAUAAAUUAUUUUUGAUAGUUUAAAGUAUUUGGUUGGGGUGACUAUAGAAUAAAAUUAACUUCUAUUUAUUUUUUUCAUUAAUUUAUGUUUCUUUGAUCCAAUUUUUUGAUUAAAAGAUUAAGUUACCUUAGGGAUAACAGCGUAAUUUUUUCGGAGAGCUCAAAUCGAUGAAAGAGUUUGCGACCUCGAUGUUGGAUUAAAAUAAGUUUUAGGUGCAGGAGCUUAAUAACUAGGUCUGUUCGACCUUUAAUUUUUUACAUGAUCUGAGU